Molecule: ribosomal RNA, 232 nt
Filed under: Urothemis assignata
Lineage: Eukaryota; Metazoa; Arthropoda; Insecta; Odonata; Libellulidae
Description: partial 28S ribosomal RNA
Rfam family: Eukaryotic large subunit ribosomal RNA
Source: RNAcentral
ACCCGUCUUGAAACACGGACCAAGGAGUGUAACAUGCGCGCGAGUCGUUGGGUCGGACACGCUCCGCUAAACCCAUAGGCGCAAUGAAAGUGAAGGUCGCCCUCCGCGGGACCGAGGGAGGACGGAGGCGACCCUUUAGUCGCCUCCCGCACUCCCGGGGGGUCUGAUUCCUCUCUCCGAGGGAAGGAGCACCCAGAGCGCACACGUUGGGACCCGAAAGAUGGUGAACUAU